GCUAAAAUUUAUCUUGUUCAUUAAUACAUACCUAAACUGCGUCUCUUACAUUACUUGGUGUUUAUUGAGAAGGUUUAGGGUUUGAGUGUGCCGGGCUAUUUAUUUAGGGUUUAACAGAAGAGAAAAAUCAGAGUAGUUCUUUUGCCUGAUCUCAGGGUUCGAUAAAUUACAUAAAUUUCCAGGAGGGGUAGCAAAAGAUUUGAAACGUGAGGGUAAAGGCUUAGAUCAGAACACUCGCCAUUAUUCUCUGCAAGGCUUUUUAUGUCGGUAUAUGUUUUUUCGGCUUCUUUCACUGGUCUUCACGCUAAUUUCUGUGUGGGGACUGUGUUUAGGGCAAUAUUAAGGAGGGUUUAUUUUACUGCAGAGGAUACCUCAUAUUGAAGAUUGAGAAAUGCAAUUAUUUAUUGACAGAGGCAGCCAAGAUUAGAAGUACAAGGGCGAAGUUUGGACCAUUUUGCAGUUCAAUGUCUUCGACAGAUUAGUUUAAUUUAAUAGGAACUUCUGCUUCUUUCACUGGUCUCCACGCCAAUAUCUGUGUGUGGUUGACUCGUUCCCUUGAAGCAAUACUGACUUUUUUUCAUUCCUCGCUAUCUUGCUGCAAGUCUUUAUUUGCAGAGGGUUUCUUUGGAAUGGUACAAUGCAUAGCAUAAGUUUUUAGCACUGGUACUGGUAACAGUUUCAUAGUUUGAUUGAUGGACAACAAAGAUGACGUUAUAAUCUUCUCGAUGAAUGCGAUUAUGAUCGCAGGGUUGGUGUCUUGGAGAAGGGGUUAGGGGCUUUAGUGUGCAGGGCACACUGUUUCGGGCUUUUUGGAGGAGGAAGACUAGACUAUUUUAACUGUAAAGAAUGCUCGAUAGCGAAGAUUGACAAUGCAAUUAUACUUCAAGCAGAGGCAACUAAAUCAGAGUGUAAGUGCUUAGGUUGGACCAUUUUGCAGGUUCGAUUUCGUAUGUAGAAUGGUUUUAUUGUCUUAGAUGAUGUGAAUUACUUGAGAUAAAAUUUUGCUUCUUUCACUGGUCUCUACGCUGAUUUCUGUGUGUGGGUGACUCGUUCCCUUGAAGCAAUACUAAAUAUUUCAUCCCUCGCUAUCUUGCUGCAAGUUUGAUUUGCAGAGGGAUUCUUUGGGCUGGUACAAUGUACUUUAUUAACUUAUAACAUUACUUUUGAGGGUUUGAUUGAUGGACAACGAAGAUGACUUUAUAAUCUUCUCAAUGAUUGCGAAUAUGAUCGCAGGAAAGAACAUCUAAGGGACUGAGCUGUCCAUGUAUUUGUUAUUGCCACUUGCAUUCGUAAUGUGGGUACGAUACAAUGUUUGAAGUGCUUUCGCUUUCUUGAUUUGUCGAUGUUGGAAUCACGUUGCAGAAUUUUGGCUUGAAUGUCUACUACUUUUUUCUAUAGAUUUUUUUUCUUUGCUUGGUAGAGUGUUGAUGUGGGUAGCGUUAGGGAAACUGUAAGAGUUAAAUGCCAGAUUUUACUUCGGAAUAUUUUUAUCAAUUACCAUUUUAUCAUGUAUCAUCAAGAUCCCAUAUUGGAUUCUGAAAUUUUUACCAUAAUUAGGAUUAGGCUAUAGUUCUAUUGACGGGGUUGCCUCAAGUUCUGUGGAGAAUAAUUUAGGAAGAUAAUGGAGGAGCUUCCAAUAUGAUCACGUGGUUCUGUGGAAUUCAUAGCUGAUAAUUGUGGAUUUUCUUUAUAUGGGGAAUUGACAGCUCUCUUAAUCUGCAAUUUAAUCUUUAAAAAUACUACCAUACACAGCUCUGUUAAUCUGCAAUUUAAUCAUAAAUAAAACUAAUAUUUUAAGAGUCUAAAAGCUUUACUUUUCAUUUUUAAUAUUUGAUACUUCCAUUCGAAAACCUGUGGCUUCUUGCCUUUCCCCUCUAAAUAUUGGAGUGUGUACUCUGAACCAUUUAGUGUCACUAAUGUGUAUCUUUCUCUUUUUCUUUUACAAUUUUUAUGCCGAUAGGCGUUCUUAUGUGGGAGACCGAGCUGCAAGUACAGCUACAGGAAAUAUUUGAUGGUUUGAAAGUUGUAUGCAUUGCAUUGAUCGCCCAUAGAAAUAAUUUUUUUUGGCUUAGCCCUCUAAAUAUUGGAAUUUGUAAAUCUAUGAACCAUUUAGCGCGCGACUAGUGUGCAUCUAGCAAAGGUAAGGUGCUGAAACGGCACGCAGAAAGUAGUGGGGAGUGGUAUGGAACCUUGCAAGUGGAAGUAGGGAACCUCCCUCGUCGUUGGUUUCUUGCAGUGGAGAUAAAAACUGUCGGAAUUUGGGAGUGAUACAGUCUUGUCCUUUGUUUGUAAGGUUAAUACUCUCCCAUGGUAUCUUCAAUAGUCUUUCAAAUUUUGCUUCUAAGAACUAGUAAUUGUACUAGUAGAUUAGUCUUUAUUUAUAGGUCUUGAAUGAUUGCUGUUGUUAAUCUCGUACUUGACCCAUGUAUCUAAAAUUCUUGAUAUGCAGAGUACACGAUCAAUUGGACACCACCAAUGUCAUGUCAAACUUAUUCUGCAAUUUGCUUAGAAGAAAAUUAAGAAACUGUCUUUAGGAAAAGGCAUUCAUUCUAGAGUGAAUGAAUCCUUUUUAAAUGUUAGGUCCCUUGAGUCAAUUUUAAAAUAUUAUGGUUAAAGCAAAUAAUAAAUUAUAAUCCUCCCUUUGCAAAGAUUUGUUAGGGAUGAAUUCAGUGUCACUUCGAUGUCCUGUUGGCUCGGAAUGCCAAGUAGCCAUUGCAGUUGUUAUUUUUUUAAAGAUUAUCUGGAUGUUAUAUCUGUUCUCAGGAAAAAGCAUUCCAGCUCUUCAAACAGUAAAAGCGUAAUAGACUCGUCCCCAUAUACGGGAAUUAGAGGGUUAACAUGCCCAAUUGGGUAUCUUGAACGAGGCAGCUUAAAGGAUGCGUAGAGUUGCCAUUUUCGAAGAUGGUAUUUACACGAUAGGCAGUAAAUAAAAUGUAUCAAAUUCCUCUGCUUUGGAAACUAGCUUAAAUUAAAACCACCUAUGUUGAGAGCCCUGCAUAUUCUUGUAUUGGAUGAUUAUUAUGUUGUGUUUGAUCCACCAGUGAAAUUUUCAGUUACAGUUGAAUAGUCAACUUAGUGUAGAAUCAAGUUUUGCCAUGUAAGAGUAACAUCU
Molecule: long non-coding RNA, 3112 nt
Organism: Cryptomeria japonica (Japanese cedar)
Lineage: Eukaryota; Viridiplantae; Streptophyta; Pinopsida; Cupressales; Cupressaceae
Exons: 3
Source: RefSeq, a predicted model, not a curated record